Papaver somniferum (opium poppy) is the source of this 2497-nucleotide long non-coding RNA. RefSeq lists it as uncharacterized. The transcript is spliced from 4 exons. NCBI's taxonomy places the organism in Eukaryota, Viridiplantae, Streptophyta, Magnoliopsida, Ranunculales, Papaveraceae. The record is from RefSeq and is a predicted model, not a curated record.
AAUUAACAACCAACUUCUCACUUUAAUCCGUUUUCUCUUCAGAAAGAGCACCACCACGCAUACCACCACAUAUUUACUCUUCUUUUGGCAGUCUACUUACUUCACAGUCCCAACCUAAAAUCUUAAUCCUAAUUUUUGGUUAUAUUUUAGUCUGAGUUUGGAAUUGUUUAUUUUAUGGGCCGGGGUUUAGGUUUGUUGUAAGGGAUUAUGAUGCAGGGUUGUUUUGAUUUCUGGAAUAAACCAGAGAAUUGAGUUAAAACCCUAAUUUAUACUUGGUUUCGCUUGCCUAUCAAGAUGUUAAGGUAUUCAAAACCAGUGGAUCAAAUGAGAGCUACUGUAUUUGGCCAGUUGUUAGGUGAAGAUAGAGGGGAACAACAUCAAGAAAUCUGAAGCACCCUUCUAGAAAGUCCUCUUAAGUUGGAAAAGCUCAUAUACAGAAGUUAAGGUUGGUCAUUCUAGGGCUGCACAGGAACCGUCCCGUCCCGUGGAACCGUACCGGUACCGUCCCGGAACCGCAGCCAGAUGGGACAGAUACAAAUACCAAAAAUAGAUACCGUGUCUAGAGUAGGUACAAGUAACGGUUCUAGGCUAUUCCCUUCCCGUCCCGUAGUACCGAGGAUUUGAAUCCGUUGAUACUCGGGUACUGUUGCAUUACCAGAAUAGAAGUUGUUGUUUUAAAAUUAAAGCUAGAAAAUCCAAGAGAACACUAUACAUGCUCUCGAGGGCAGCAUGGGAGAAAUUGCUGCGGUAGUUAUUUUGGAGGUUUUAACAAUUCGAUCGAGGGGUCGACUUUUAACAGCAAUAAUGUUUGGGCGACUAUUCUUGAAAUAAACUGUCCAUAAAGUUCUUUCACAUUGCUAAUCAUGUGAAGUAUUUUCUCAGAACUAUUGCACUUUGAACUUUGCCUUUUAAUCAGAAAGCAACCUGCUUAAUAGUGUUUGCUUUUGCUCUCAUUUUGCAUCAAAUAAAAACCUGACAUGAGAAUUUCCUUUUGCAUGUGCACUUGUUAAAUAUUCUUAGCAGCCAAUCUGAACCCUGUACUACGACUUACAGUUCACGUAGAGAUUUGCAUUUUAUCACGACAGAGUUGAGUUUUCUUCUUCGUCUUAGACAGCUCAGUUAAAAACUCCACAGAUCUAUACUUUAUAACUUAUUGCAUCUAUAAACGUGACCAUAGAUAUUUUAGUUGAGGACUAUGCUUUGCAUCUAGAAGUGUUUUUUUUUUUUUUUACAUAUGCUACAGGUAAAGAACCGGUUCCGUCCCGUCCCGUCCCGAUUUAAACAGGUACAGGUCCCGUCCCGUACUUCAUGGGGUACAGGUACAAGUACAAGGUACAAGUACCGACCAUAGGAAGGUACAGGUACUGAGCCAGGCAAAAACCCGUACCGUCCCGUCCCAUGUGCAGCCCUAGGUCAUUCUAUAACCUUUAAGCACACAUCACGUUCUUUUGGUUUGUACGCAUCAUUGUUACUAAAUGAAAGAAAUUUAGAAGCUAAAUUAGUAUAAAUGCUCACUUUCUUCUGAAAUUGAUUAUAGGUGUAUUGUUUCUAUUUAGGCAUAAUCUUAUUAAAUAAGCAUGAAGAUUGUUUUAAAUCCUUGCAUAGGCAAUUGGUAUUAAAGAUCAUGUUCGUCAUGGUGACAAGGAAUCUGUUGCAAUCUGUAGGGUUGUCGGGAUCAUGAUGAGGAUGGUUACAGGAGGCAGCAUAACCAAUGCAAAGCCAAUUGCAGCAGAAUGUGGAUUCUGACUGAUAUUACUCUCCCGUUUGGUGAAGUCGCUGUUGUGGGUGGCGAUGGUUCAAAUGACGCUACAACGUCUCAUGAAGCAGAUAUUGGACUCGCAAUGGGGAAAUUAUUGCACUAUGAUGGCGAAAAGUUCAUCAGAACAUGGGAGUAUUACUUUGUAGACUGUGCUGCGGGGUUUAAACACACACUGGGAGUCUAUCAGGUAAAAAUGCAUUACAACGGGGAGAGGAAAAGCACAAAAAAUGUUAACGAACCAUAUAACAAUUGGCAUGUUUGGAAGAAAAUGUUAAUGUUACAUUGCGACGGGUAGAGGCGAAGCUGUCCGACACCAAAUCAAAAAUGCAUCGGGAUCCGCCUCGCCACACCAAAUCAUAAAUGCAUGACGGGGCGAGGCGAAGCCACAUCACACCAUAUCAUGGUUAAAAGAAAAGGAUGCCCAAUACGUAGAUGAAUGACCGUACAUUAAAUCUGGAAGAGAAGAUGUUUAGAUGGAGUUGAGUUUUAUAAUGAGGAUUUGUAGUUGUUAGUGCUGAAAGGAUAUGAUUGAAAGAAGAGUUGAGUUAUGGUCAGUGGUUGAGCUGGCUUUGCAGGCAUGUUGCAUUGCAGCCGGAACAAGGAAGAAAUCAAGCAACAAUAAAGAUAAGGCUGAAUGUAUAUAUAAAAAUUUAUUGAUUUGUAAGGAUUGAAAUUUGCUAGUAAUCAUAUAAAACUGUGGAGCAUCAAACUAAAAACAUGGUGUAUCGUUUGCGGACC